Molecule: long non-coding RNA, 296 nt
Filed under: Carica papaya (papaya)
Lineage: Eukaryota; Viridiplantae; Streptophyta; Magnoliopsida; Brassicales; Caricaceae
Description: long non-coding RNA (CPAP_LNC002547)
Source: RNAcentral
UUUGAGAUACCAUAAUCUCCUUUAUGUAGAGCCUAGCUAGUUUGUCUAAGGGAUCAUUGAUCUUGAUAGCGAGACAGUGAGCUGACUUUGUUAGGUGAUCCACAAUCACCCAUAUGGCAUCGUGAUUUAAUCUGGUCUUCGUUAGUCCUACCAUGAAGUUCAUGGUGAUGUUCUUCCACUUCCACUCUAGUACAAGUAGAGGUGUAGUAGUCCUGCUGCCAUAUGAUGCUCUGCUUUAAUUUGCUGGAAAGUCAGACAUUUGGACACAAACUAAGCAAUAUUUUUCUUUAUGCUCC